AGCUUUGCGCAGUGGCAGUAUCGUAGCCAAUGAGGUUUAUCCGAGGCGCGAUUAUUGCUAAUAGAAAAUACAGAAUAAUGUUACUAAUGCUAUCCAUUCAUUUAACAAAUAUUUAUUGAGCAUUUGACACUGUUCUAGACA
Neogale vison (American mink) is the source of this 141-nucleotide small nuclear RNA. Its record names the gene U4. It matches the Rfam family "U4 spliceosomal RNA". Rfam says of the family: U4 small nuclear RNA (U4 snRNA) is a component of the major U2-dependent spliceosome. The structure of U4 snRNA from yeast and human has been reported. The record is from Ensembl. NCBI's taxonomy places the organism in Eukaryota, Metazoa, Chordata, Mammalia, Carnivora, Mustelidae.